UAUUUAUGUUUCUUGAUAAUAUUUUUAUAUUAAUUUACACACAUGAUUUUUUAUAGUUUAUAAGUGAAUGAAAUUUUCAAAAUCAUGCUGAACGAAAGAAACAGGAGGUAGUUUGAAAAGUGAUGGCACUAUUGCAGUCAUGUUGUAUGACCGUCUCACUGCGCACGGGAUGCACAAUAAUAGGGGUACUUAUGUUGGUAACGUCGUUUUUGCUCUGCGGCUAUCCCAGCUACGAAGGCUUUGCUUCCAUUUUAUCUUUUUUCAUAUACAUAGACUGCAUAAUAACAGCAAUAACCAGCAUUUUGUUUCUGGUGUUUGGGAUGAUUAUGGAUAGAUUAUGGGCAAUGGCAAUGUAUGCAAAUGUAUUGGCUAUCAAAAUGUUCGUGGAUUUAAUACUUUUUAUUGCAGCGCUAAUUAUAGGAAGCAAAUUUACUUUCAAUCUAGUAAACGCAAUAUUUAUGACGCUAUAUAACAUUUACUGUUUUUGGGUGGUAUACAGUUAUUACAAGGAAAAUGCUGACGAAGUUAUUGCAUUUUGAGACACGAUUUACAUGUUUUGGUUCGAUGUACAUUGCUGCUUUACUUAGCGCAAUACUGCUCUUUGAGUGUUGCCCUACUUCACUUUGCUGUACAUUGCUACUGACAUACUUUGCUUGGCAGACUAUAUCUAUGAAAUGUU
Molecule: long non-coding RNA, 679 nt
Organism: Cydia splendana
Lineage: Eukaryota; Metazoa; Arthropoda; Insecta; Lepidoptera; Tortricidae
Exons: 5
Source: RefSeq, a predicted model, not a curated record